GAUGAACGCUGGCGGCGUGCAUAACACAUGCAAGUCGAACGAAGUGGCGAACGGGUGAGUAACACGUGAGUAACCUGCCUUACACAAGGGGAUAGCCUUUGGAAACGAAGAAUAAUACCCUAUAGGGUAAGAUGGACUUGGGUCUGAUUAGCUAGUUGGUGAGAUAAAAGCCCACCAAGGCGACGAUCAGUAGCCGGCGUGGGAGGGUGUACGGCCACAGUGGGACUGAGACACGGCCCAAACUCCUACGGGAGGCAGCAGUGGGGAAUUUUGCACAAUGGGGGAAACCCUGAUGCAGCGACGCCGCGUGAUUUAGAAGGCCUUCGGGUUGUAAAGCUCUGUUAAUCGGGACGCGGUACCGGAAUAGAAAGCCACGGCUAACUACGUGCCAGCAGCCGCGGUAAUAC
RNAcentral lists this ribosomal RNA (407 nucleotides) under uncultured bacterium. RNAcentral's name for it is "partial 16S ribosomal RNA". It matches the Rfam family "Bacterial small subunit ribosomal RNA", at positions 28 to 526 of the family's 1533-position model. The record is from RNAcentral.